GCCCCUUGCGGGGUCAGUCUCGUCGUAGUAGUAUCGAGUCUUGAGUUUACUAUAAACUCUUAAAAGUAUCAGAAUGUGUAUUGUGAUGUAACGCUCCUAUAUACAACUUUCAGCAACGGAUCUCUUGGCUCUCGCAUCGAGAAAGAACGCAGCGAAAUGCGAUAAGUAAUGUGAAUUGCAGAAUUCAGUGAAUCAUCGAAUCUUUGAACGCACCUUGCGCUCCUUGGUAUUCCGAGGAGCAUGCCUGUUUGAGUGUCAUGAAAUUCUCAACCUAACGGGUUCUUAACCGGACUUGCUUAGGCUUGGACUUGGAGGCUUUGUCGGCUUGCUUAUGUCGAGUCGGCUCCUCUCAAAUGCAUUAGCUUGGUUCCUUUGCGGAUCGGCUCACGGUGUGAUAAUUGUCUACGCCGCGACCGUUGAAGCGUUUUAAUGGCCAGCUUCUAAUCGUCUCUUGCGAGACAACAUUCAUCGAACUCUGACCUCAA
This 485-nucleotide ribosomal RNA is filed under the name Lentinus polychrous. RNAcentral describes it as "eukaryotic LSU rRNA". The stretch from base 105 to 258 matches the Rfam family "5.8S ribosomal RNA". Lineage: Eukaryota; Fungi; Basidiomycota; Agaricomycetes; Polyporales; Polyporaceae. The record is from RNAcentral.